AACAUGCGCAGUGCUCCCCCAUAAUGAGACUGACUGGAACAUGCGCAGUGCUCCCCUAUGAUGAGACUCACUGCAACAUGCGCAGUGCUCCCCCAUAAUGAGACUGACUGGAACAUGCGCAGUGCUCCCCCAUAAUGAGACUCACUGGAACAUGCGCAGUGCUUCCCCAUAAUGAGACUCACUGGAACAUGCGCAGUGCUUCCCCAUAAUGAGACUCACUGGAACAUGCGCAGUGCUCCCCCAUGAGACUCACUGGAACAUGCGCAGUGCUCCCCCAUAAUGAGACUCACUGGAACAUGCGCAGUUCUCCCCCAUAAUGAGACUCACUGCAACAUGCGCAGUGCUUCCCCCAUAAUGAGACUCACUGGAACAUGCGCAGUGCUUCCCCCAUAAUGAGACUCACUGGAACAUGCGCAGUGCUUCCCCCAUAAUGAGACUCACUGGAACAUGCGCAGUGCUCCCCUAUAAUGAGACUCACUGGAACAUGCGCAGUGC
Molecule: non-coding RNA, 495 nt
Organism: Pelobates cultripes (western spadefoot toad)
Lineage: Eukaryota; Metazoa; Chordata; Amphibia; Anura; Pelobatidae
Source: the annotation of a GenBank genome assembly